CGGAGGUGGCGAGCGUUACUCGGAAUCAUUGGGUGUAAAGGGCAGGUAGGCGGCCUAUUAAGUGAGGGGUGAAAUCUCCCGGCUCAAUCGGGAAACUGCCUUUCAUACUGAUAGACUUGAGUGUGAUAGGGGGAAGCGGAAUUAGCAGUGUAAGGGUGAAAUCUGUAGAUAUUGCUAAGAACACCAGCGGCGAAGGCGGCUUCCUGGAUCACAACUGACGCUGAUCUGCGAAAGCUAGGGGAGCAAACAGAAUUAGAUACUCUGGUAGUCCUAGCCGUAAACGAUGAGUACUAGGUGUUGGACCGUAAGGUUCAGUGCCGCAGCUAACGCAUUAAGUACUCCACCUGAGGACUACGACCGCAAGGUUA
RNAcentral lists this ribosomal RNA (368 nucleotides) under uncultured organism. Its description in RNAcentral is "bacterial SSU rRNA". It matches the Rfam family "Bacterial small subunit ribosomal RNA", at positions 526 to 896 of the family's 1533-position model. The record is from RNAcentral.